Molecule: RNA transcript, 1380 nt
Organism: Glycine soja
Lineage: Eukaryota; Viridiplantae; Streptophyta; Magnoliopsida; Fabales; Fabaceae
Gene name: iron-sulfur cluster co-chaperone protein HscB homolog
Exons: 8
Source: RefSeq, a predicted model, not a curated record
UGUGGGUGUCUGCUGAUCAUUUUCCUUAGUGAAAUUACCAUUCGGUCCUUGAACUUUCCCCUGACUGCUUCAUUCAUUCAUUCAUUCCCCAGUCCCCCUCCCAAAAUCCAGGAAUCGCUCCCUAUCUUCUGCAUCUGUGCUCACACAAUGUCUAAGAAAAAGCUCUGCAUGCCCCUUUCAACCCUUCUGAGACGCAGUUUAACUUCAUUUCCCCAACACUUCACUUCCAAUUUCUCUCCUCAGAUCAAACUCUGUCUUCAUCACUCAUCACCAACCUUUGCACCCCCUUCUCAUAACCCCGCCUGCGAUUACUAUUAUUCUCUCAGAUUUUUCGGGAAAAGCCUAUGCUCGAAAUCUGCUGAGGAAAUCCAACGUGGAUGCUGGAAUUGCCACACUGUCCCUCACUCGGAACCUUUCCUCGUUUGCGAGUUGUGCCAGUGCAUUCAGCCCGUGGAUAGCUCCAUUGACUAUUUUGACAUAUUUGGGGUGGAGAGGAAGUAUGACAUAGAGGGUGAGAAUUUGGAGGGCAAGUACAAAGAUUGGCAAAAGAAACUGCAUCCUGAUUUAGUACAUUCAAAAUCUCAGAAAGAAAGAGAUUUUGCUGCUGAACAAUCUGCAAGGGUCAUUGAUGCAUACCGUACACUUAGCAAACCUUUGUCAAGAGGAAUUUACUUGCUGAAGCUUUAUGGAGAAGAAGUUGACGAAGAACAGACAAUUUCAGAUCCAGAACUACUUGCAGAGAUUUUGGAAAUCAGGGAAGCAGUUGAAGAAGCAACUAACUCUGAGACUUUGAAUCACAUUCUCUCUGAGAUGCAGGAGAAGCUACAAAAUUGGUCCAAUGCCUUUGGUCUUUCUUUUCAAACCCAAAACUUUGAAGAAGCAAAAAUGGCAAUCAGGAGAAUGACUUACUAUAGUCGUGUAAUUGAUGAAGCUGUAAAGAAGCUUUGAUAUAAGGUGUACCUUUUCUGCCUUUUGUGCUUCAAGAUUUUUUGCAGUAAAAUAAUUCAAACACGGACCUUUUGCUUUGGGGGCAAAAUAGAUCAGUUGGCAGUAUGAAGAAUUUGCCUCACUUAUCCCUAUGAAGUGGCCUAUACGUAAAUCACUAAUUGAUUUGAUCAUGUCUCAAUGGACCUUAUUGCUUCUCUAUGUACAUGAUGGAGUUCACAUUUUGUCACUUAAUGAGGCACAUCCUAAGCAUUCAACCUUUCAGAUCGGCUGCAUGCUACUAAGCAGCACUUGUGUAUUCCUGAAUAUUGUUAUUACGUACUAUUUUCCUAACAAAAGAACUGUAUGAGUAUGACCUUGGAAAUUUUGCUGCACUUGUAUUAUUUGAUACAAUAAAGGUGCAUCAUUGCGGUUAUGAAAUUUGAUGUUCAUAAA